Molecule: long non-coding RNA, 351 nt
Filed under: Pan troglodytes (chimpanzee)
Lineage: Eukaryota; Metazoa; Chordata; Mammalia; Primates; Hominidae
Description: lincRNA
Source: RNAcentral
ACCAAACCAAUGCAGACCAAACCAAUGCAGAACUCCUAUGUGCUGAUGGUGGUCUUACGUUUCCCUAAGUUUCUGCCGACUAAACUGUGCACACGUUCUCAGGACCUCCUGAAGCUGCGUCACAGGCACUAAUCAAAGAACACAACCAAGAGUUUGGCCUUUUCUUCAGCACUGGGAAUUGUGAUCCAAAGCUUUCCCGGAUGAAGCACAAAGUUGGAGAAACAAAACGCAAACUAAACAACAACAAUGAAACAGAACAGAGUUAAUCUGCUGUAGCUCAAGAGAGGACGUACCUGCCCCCACCCCGCAUCCCUGGGCUCGGGUUUGCCUUGCUGACCUCUGCUGCCACCU